RNAcentral lists this ribosomal RNA (717 nucleotides) under uncultured Staphylococcus sp. RNAcentral describes it as "bacterial SSU rRNA". It matches the Rfam family "Bacterial small subunit ribosomal RNA", at positions 68 to 768 of the family's 1533-position model. Lineage: Bacteria; Bacillati; Bacillota; Bacilli; Caryophanales; Staphylococcaceae. The record is from RNAcentral.
AACAGACGAGGAGCUUGCUCCUCUGACGUUAGCGGCGGACGGGUGAGUAACACGUGGAUAACCUACCUAUAAGACUGGGAUAACUUCGGGAAACCGGAGCUAAUACCGGAUAAUAUAUUGAACCGCAUGGUUCAAUAGUGAAAGACGGUUUUGCUGUCACUUAUAGAUGGAUCCGCGCCGCAUUAGCUAGUUGGUAAGGUAACGGCUUACCAAGGCAACGAUGCGUAGCCGACCUGAGAGGGUGAUCGGCCACACUGGAACUGAGACACGGUCCAGACUCCUACGGGAGGCAGCAGUAGGGAAUCUUCCGCAAUGGGCGAAAGCCUGACGGAGCAACGCCGCGUGAGUGAUGAAGGUCUUCGGAUCGUAAAACUCUGUUAUUAGGGAAGAACAAAUGUGUAAGUAACUAUGCACGUCUUGACGGUACCUAAUCAGAAAGCCACGGCUAACUACGUGCCAGCAGCCGCGGUAAUACGUAGGUGGCAAGCGUUAUCCGGAAUUAUUGGGCGUAAAGCGCGCGUAGGCGGUUUUUUAAGUCUGAUGUGAAAGCCCACGGCUCAACCGUGGAGGGUCAUUGGAAACUGGAAAACUUGAGUGCAGAAGAGGAAAGUGGAAUUCCAUGUGUAGCGGUGAAAUGCGCAGAGAUAUGGAGGAACACCAGUGGCGAAGGCGACUUUCUGGUCUGUAACUGACGCUGAUGUGCGAAAGCGUGGGGAU